GUAGGCUGCAACUCGCCUACACGAAGUCGGAAUCGCUAGUAAUCGCGGAUCAGCAUGCCGCGGUGAAUACGUUCCCGGGCCUUGUACUCACCGCCCGUCACACCAUGGGAGUUUGUAACGCCCAAAGUCGGUGGCCUAACCUUUAUGGAGGGAGCCGCCUAAGGCGGGACAGAUGACUGGGGUGAAGUCGUAACAAGGUAUC
RNAcentral lists this ribosomal RNA (202 nucleotides) under uncultured bacterium. Its description in RNAcentral is "partial 16S ribosomal RNA". It matches the Rfam family "Bacterial small subunit ribosomal RNA", at positions 1300 to 1500 of the family's 1533-position model. The record is from RNAcentral.